UAGUCCACGCCGUAAACGAUGGAUACUAGCUGUCGGGCCUUCGGGCUCGGCGGCCAAGCGAAAGUGAUAAGUAUCCCACCUGGGGAGUACGUUCGCAAGAAUGAAACUCAAAGGAAUUGACGGGGGCCCGCACAAGCGGUGGAGCAUGUGGUUUAAUUCGAUGAUACGCGAGGAACCUUACCAGGGCUUAAAUGCAUUAUGACAGGGGUAGAGAUACCCUUUUCUUCGGACAUUUUGCAAGGUGCUGCAUGGUUGUCGUCAGCUCGUGCCGUGAGGUGUCAGGUUAAGUCCUAUAACGAGCGCAACCCUUGCCGUCAGUUGCCAGCAAGUAAUGUUGGGGACUCUGACGGGACUGCCGGUGCAGACCGAGAGGAAGGUGGGGAUGACGUCAAAUCAUCACGGCCCUUACGUCCUGGGGCUACACACGUGCUACAAUGGCCGGUACAGAGAGCAGCCAUCCGGCAACGGG
RNAcentral lists this ribosomal RNA (469 nucleotides) under uncultured bacterium. RNAcentral's name for it is "bacterial SSU rRNA". It matches the Rfam family "Bacterial small subunit ribosomal RNA", at positions 791 to 1264 of the family's 1533-position model. The record is from RNAcentral.